CCUACGGGAGGCUGCAGUGGGGGAUAUUGCACAAUGGGGGAAACCCUGAUGCAGCGACGCCGCGUGUGGGAAGACGGUCCUCUGGAUUGUAAACCACUGUCCCCAGGGACGAAGAUGACGGUACCUGGGGAGGAAGCUCCGGCUAACUACGUGCCAGCAGCCGCGGUAAUACGUAGGGAGCGAGCGUUAUCCGGAUUUAUUGGGUUUAAAGGGUGCGCAGGCGGCCUGUUAAGUCAGCGGUGAAAUCCCGCGGCUCAACCGCGGAACUGCAUUUGAAACUGUUUUUCUUGAGUACCGGAGAGGUCAUCGGAAUUCCUUGUGUAGCGGUGAAAUGCGUAGAUAUAAGGAAGAACACCAGUGGCGAAGGCGGAUGACUGGACGGCAACUGACGGUGAGGCGCGAAAGCGUGGGGAGCAAACAGGAUUAGAUACCCCUGUAGUC
This 441-nucleotide ribosomal RNA is filed under the name uncultured bacterium. RNAcentral describes it as "partial 16S ribosomal RNA". It matches the Rfam family "Bacterial small subunit ribosomal RNA", at positions 338 to 795 of the family's 1533-position model. The record is from RNAcentral.